GACCGAUAGCGAACAAGUAGAGUGAUCGAAAGAUGAAAAGCACUUUGAAAAGAGAGUUAAACAGCACGUGAAAUUGUUGAAAGGGAAGCGCUUGCGACCAGACUCGCCCGCGGGGUUCAGCCGGCAUUCGUGCCGGUGUACUUCCCCGUGGGCGGGCCAGCGUCGGUUUGGGCGGCCGGUCAAAGGCCCCUGGAAUGUAGUGCCCUCCGGGGCACCUUAUAGCCAGGGGUGCAAUGCGGCCAGCCUGGACCGAGGAACGCGCUUCGGCACGGACGCUGGCAUAAUGGUCGUAAACGACCCGUCUUGAAACACGGACCAAG
Molecule: ribosomal RNA, 320 nt
Filed under: Aspergillus niger
Lineage: Eukaryota; Fungi; Ascomycota; Eurotiomycetes; Eurotiales; Aspergillaceae
Description: LSU rRNA
Rfam family: Eukaryotic large subunit ribosomal RNA
Source: RNAcentral